Molecule: ribosomal RNA, 253 nt
Filed under: uncultured bacterium
Lineage: Bacteria
Description: partial 16S ribosomal RNA
Rfam family: Bacterial small subunit ribosomal RNA
Source: RNAcentral
UACGGGGGGGGCAAGCGUUGUUCGGAAUUACUGGGCGUAAAGGGCUCGUAGGCGGCCAACUAAGUCAGACGUGAAAUCCCCAGGCUCAACCUGGGAACUGCGUCUGAUACUGGAUGGCUUGAAUCCGGGAGAGGGAUGCAGAAUUCCAGGUGUAGCGGAGAAAUGCGUAGAUAUCUGGAGGAAUACCGGUGGCGAAGGCGGUAUCCUGGACCGGCAUUGACGCUGAGGAGCGAAAGCCAGGGGAGCAAACGGG